This 1405-nucleotide long non-coding RNA is filed under the name Anser brachyrhynchus (Pink-footed goose). RNAcentral's name for it is "lncRNA (ENSABRG00000008075.1)". The record is from RNAcentral. Lineage: Eukaryota; Metazoa; Chordata; Aves; Anseriformes; Anatidae.
GUAAUGAAGCACUUUGGAGACAAGGAGUAUGUGCUCUGCAAGGCAAGAGAAAGAGCUGUUUUCCAGUGGCCUCCCAGGCCAGGAGUUGCACAGCUUUUGGACGCGUGCUGGCCUUGUGCAGCCCGCCAGGGAGAUGGGCUGCGCAAAGCCUCCUGAUGGUCUGGUGGAGAAGAACAGCUACAGGAGAGGAGCAGGCUUGGAAUGACUGCUGAUUGCGACAGGUGAAAGUCAUGAAUACAGAGGGACUCGGAGGAAAAUUGCCUUGCAAUCUGCCAUCCACCCUGGAAGCCAGGAGGGAGAUGGUGCUGUGCCAGCAUGCCCUCCGUGCGUACUACUUAAAGGCAGAGAGAAGCUGGACUCUCCCAAGGCUCAGUGCUGAGCUUUAGCACGUUUCAAAACCCAGCUCUUUAAGCAAACGAGCGAGCAUCCUGGAGGCAGCACCGGGUCCACAGCAGGGGCUGGGCAGCAGGAGACCAUCACCUGGCAGUCAGCAGGUUGAGGCAGCGCUGGAGAGAGCCGCUUGGCAAGGGCAGGUGGACCAGACAGCAGGGCAGUGGCACCAUGUGCUGCGCGGCUUGGCAUUAAUGAGACAUCUAUUGGAAUUCUGCAUGUUCCUUAAAGGCCUUCUGGGCGGAAAAUCGUUACGUUUACCCUGAUCCUUCACAAGUGAAAAACCAAACCGGGAUCUUCCCUGCUGGACUGAUUUGUGGGCUUCCUAGGAGGCCUUUGGAGCUGUGCAAGUCACGUUGCUUUCAGGAUGGAGGUGCUGAGAGAUAGACAGCUACUGCAAGCGAUGCCCAAACCGGAGAGCCUUGUGCACGGAGGGGGGAUGGAGACACAGUGAGGGGACCCACAUGGCUGCUGCCUUCAGACUGUGGGAAAGAAUCGAGGUACCAUCAGCAUGAAGGCCGUUGCUGACCGAAGCCCGCUCGCUGCUUGUCUCUCGCUGGUUCCAUGCUCCGUCCCCACAGCACCCUCAGCCUCACAGAGUGCCGCUUCUGAGCGCCCUCAGGGAGUGAGGGUGGGGAGAGAACACCACCAACCCACAGCGUUUGUCCCUACCUGUGGAGGAAGUGCAGUGUGCCUACCUCAUGGCAGAACACGGAGGGGCUGUGGCACGAGCAGUGAAGAGGCAGAACAAGACUGGUCCUCUGUUGCCCGAGUGUCACUGCACCGUAGCUGCCUAGUCUCAGAGGCUGCCAUUACCUGCUGGGGGCAAGGAGGGACAGUGCACGCAUCUCCUUGGCAGGCAGACAGCAGCAAGGUUGCUGGCUCAGGGUGGUGUUUGUCCCUGUGCCUGGGGCGAGAGACCCCAUCUCUGUGUGUUUGCAAAGUAAGAGGGAAAGGAGGAUCUUCUGUGUUCCCUUUCUGCAGCACAAGAAAUCAAUGUCAGGGAUGGGAAUAA